Colossoma macropomum (tambaqui) is the source of this 407-nucleotide non-coding RNA. The record is from the annotation of a RefSeq genome assembly. Lineage: Eukaryota; Metazoa; Chordata; Actinopteri; Characiformes; Serrasalmidae.
CACAAACUUCACCCACAGCAGACAUGACUUUGACCAUCAUCUUCAUCUGGACUCUGAUCUUCUGGACUCAAGAAUCCAGAGGUCAGGCGACUGUGACUCAGACUCCUGCAGUGAAAUCUGCUCUUCCAGGAGAAACAGUCACCAUCAGCUGUAGAACCAGCGCUGCAGUGUACAGUGACAGUCAUGGUCAGCGUCUAGCCUGGUACCUGCAGAAACCUGGAGAAGCUCCUAAACUCCUGAUUAAACUGAUUAACAGUAGAGAGUCAGGAACUCCAGCUCGUUUCAGUGGCAGUGGAUCUGGAUCUGACUUCACUCUGACCAUCAGUGGAGUCCAGACUGAAGAUGAUGGAGAUUAUUACUGUCAGAGUUUACAUCAAAUCAGCAGUGUCUGGUGGUUCACACAGUGA